CAGAGAGGGGAGCACAGACACAUUAUCCUCUCAGGCUUUACUUAAGCUAUCUGCUGCAUCUUUUCAUAUUUCUGAUCCCGCAGCACUAAAAUGACCUUGACCCAGGAGCCUAUUCUGUCUUUUUUACUGGAACACGGAGGCAAAGUGAGGACCUCUGAGCUGCUGAACAACUUCAGGAGUCACAUCAGCUGCAGAGAUCCCGCGGAAAAGCAGCACAAUAGGGACCUUUUUAAGAAGUUGCUGAACAGCGUCGCUGUGGUCAAACAGAUAGACGAGGUGAAGUUCGUGGUUGUGAAGAGAAUGUACCAGGACUUCGUAAAAGAUUUGACGCACGAUCACAUUCCCAAGUGCAUCAGCUAAAAACUAUCAGCUUGGGAAGCAAAGUUUCUUCAAGAUCCGUGCCGGCUCUGAAUUUGGCAGCUUGCAAGAAGGAUGCGGCGAACAUGCGGACACACGCGGAGAGACACGCCAAACAUGUUUUUCUCAACUGUAGUUGUAAUAACAAUACUGCCUGAAGCAUGUCCACUUCCACUGAGAUUUUCUCAUCUGAUCUCGAACUCAUUUGGACCUUGCAUUGGUUCCUUAAUGUGGCUGUGUAAAGACUGUGGUGCUGAGGCGUCUAAAAGAUCAGAAAUUCUUAAACAUUGCAGAUUAAGUCGUCAUCAUUUGGGGCGUGGCCAUUGUAUUAAUUGCGUGUAUCCAAACUGUCCAUGCAUUUUUAAGACUUGGAAUUCACUUUUGACACACUUAUCCAGGAAUCAUUGUAAUGCUUUAAAGUGCUCUGACAAAUUUACUUUGUCCUGUCAGUUAUGUGGUUUUAGUGAACUUGGAACAGAGCGUGAUUGUUUUGCACAUAUAACCCAGCAUUUGAAAAACUAUGAGACAGUUACUUGUAUGUUCAAAGGCUGUUAUUACAAAUCCAACAUUUACAGUACAUUCAAGUCACACAGAAGUCGUAAGCACAGCUUACAGUUGGUGGCAGAUUUUAAAGACGAAGUAGUCAAAGAAAGUGUUGCAGCUGAAACAGCAGAGCCUGAUGUUCAAGACAAUGAGGAAUUCAGCGAUAGCAGUCAGUCUGAUGAUAUAAGUACAACACAGGAUCAGAAAGAUAUAGUAGAACAAAAACUUGCAGCUGUGUUAUUAAAACUUGGAAAUAUUUUUCAUGUGCCCAGUGCUGCAUUUGAUGAAUUGCUGGAAGAACUGCAGUAUUUGUUGAGCACAGCGUGUUUUCAUAGUACAACAAAUUUAA
This is a long non-coding RNA of Amphiprion ocellaris (clown anemonefish), 1249 nucleotides long. RefSeq lists it as uncharacterized. The transcript has 3 exons. NCBI's taxonomy places the organism in Eukaryota, Metazoa, Chordata, Actinopteri, Pomacentridae. The record is from RefSeq and is a predicted model, not a curated record.